RNAcentral lists this ribosomal RNA (449 nucleotides) under uncultured bacterium. RNAcentral's name for it is "bacterial SSU rRNA". It matches the Rfam family "Bacterial small subunit ribosomal RNA", at positions 355 to 796 of the family's 1533-position model. The record is from RNAcentral.
UGGGGAAUUUUGGACAAUGGGGGCAACCCUGAUCCAGCAAUGCCGCGUGUGUGAAGAAGGCCUUCGGGUUGUAAAGCACUUUUGUCCGGAAAGAAAACUUCCGGGUUAAUACCGCGGGAGGAUGACGGUACCGGAAGAAUAAGCACCGGCUAACUACGUGCCAGCAGCCGCGGUAAUACGUAGGGUGCGAGCGUUAAUCGGAAUUACUGGGCGUAAAGCGUGCGCAGGCGGUGAUGUAAGACCGAUGUGAAAUCCCCGGGCUUAACCUGGGAACUGCAUUGGUGACUGCAUCGCUCGAGUAUGGCAGAGGGGGGUAGAAUUCCACGUGUAGCAGUGAAAUGCGUAGAGAUGUGGAGGAAUACCGAUGGCGAAGGCAGCCCCCUGGGUCAAUACUGACGCUCAUGCACGAAAGCGUGGGGAGCAAACAGGAUUAGAUACCCCGGUAGUCC